GUGCUCGCUUUGGCAGCACAUAUACUAAAAUUGGAAUGAUACAGAAAUUAGCAUGGCCCCUGCACAAGGAUGACAUGCAAAUUUGUGAAGAAUCACAAGAUAGA
Molecule: small nuclear RNA, 104 nt
Organism: Dromiciops gliroides (monito del monte)
Lineage: Eukaryota; Metazoa; Chordata; Mammalia; Microbiotheria; Microbiotheriidae
Source: RefSeq, a predicted model, not a curated record